UGGGGAAUAUUGCACAAUGGGGGAAACCCUGAUGCAGCGACGCCGCGUGAAGGAAGAAGUAUCUCGGUAUGUAAACUUCUAUCAGCAGGGAAGAAAAUGACGGUACCUGACUACGAAGCCCCGGCUAACUACGUGCCAGCAGCCGCGGUAAUACGUAGGGGGCAAGCGUUAUCCGGAUUUACUGGGUGUAAAGGGAGCGUAGACGGAAGAGCAAGUCUGAUGUGAAAGGCUGGGGCUUAACCCCAGGACUGCAUUGGAAACUGUUUUUCUAGAGUGCCGGAGAGGUAAGCGGAAUUCCUAGUGUAGCGGUGAAAUGCGUAGAUAUUAGGAGGAACACCAGUGGCGAAGGCGGCUUACUGGACGGUAACUGACGUUGAGGCUCGAAAGCGUGGGGAGCAAACAGG
Molecule: ribosomal RNA, 404 nt
Filed under: Acidobacteriota bacterium
Lineage: Bacteria; Pseudomonadati; Acidobacteriota
Description: Acidobacteria bacterium partial 16S ribosomal RNA
Rfam family: Bacterial small subunit ribosomal RNA
Source: RNAcentral